CGGAGGGUGCGAGCGUUGUCCGGAAUCACUGGGCGUAAAGGGCGCGUAGGUGGCCUGUGGAAGUCUGCGGUGAAAGCCCGGCGCUCAACGCCGGGUCGGCCGUGGAUACUCUCGGGCUUGAGCUCACUAGAGGCAGAUGGAAUUCCGGGUGUAGCGGUGGAAUGCGUAGAGAUCCGGAAGAACACCGGUGGCGAAGGCGGUCUGCUGGGGUGAUGCUGACACUGAUGCGCGACAGCGUGGGGAGCAAACAGGAUUAGAUACCCUGGUAGUCCACGCCGUAAACGAUGGGCACUAGGUGCUUGGGGGAGCGACCCCCUGAGUGCCGUCGCUAACGCAUUAAGUGCCCCGCCUGGGGAGUACGGCCGCAAGGCUG
This 373-nucleotide ribosomal RNA is filed under the name uncultured organism. RNAcentral describes it as "bacterial SSU rRNA". It matches the Rfam family "Bacterial small subunit ribosomal RNA", at positions 526 to 896 of the family's 1533-position model. The record is from RNAcentral.